Small nucleolar RNA from Ornithorhynchus anatinus (platypus), 138 nucleotides. NCBI's taxonomy places the organism in Eukaryota, Metazoa, Chordata, Mammalia, Monotremata, Ornithorhynchidae. The record is from RefSeq and is a predicted model, not a curated record.
CCCCUCUCAGGGUCACACCUGGAGAGCUUUCAGUACUCUACCAGUCUCGACUACGGGAGGGAGAGUCAAGCAGAGGCCUAGCCAUUACAUUCCUAGCUCGGGCAGAGGCUAGCGAAUGGAAGGCCAUCUGCUACAAGU